AAACCAUGGUGUGGGCAUUUUAGGAUAAGAUCCUUAAAUCUCUCCCAAAAUGUAAAAAAUUGUUCACCAUCGUUUUGAGAAAAUUGCAUUAUGAGUCG
RNAcentral lists this small nucleolar RNA (98 nucleotides) under Macleaya cordata. Its description in RNAcentral is "Plant small nucleolar RNA R71". It matches the Rfam family "Plant small nucleolar RNA R71". Rfam says of the family: R71 is a member of the C/D box family of snoRNAs containing the C (UGAUGA) and D (CUGA) box motifs. Multiple nearly identical copies of this snoRNA have been identified in Arabidopsis, and it is thought to function as a 2'-O-ribose methylation guide for 18S ribosomal RNA. The record is from Rfam by way of RNAcentral. Lineage: Eukaryota; Viridiplantae; Streptophyta; Magnoliopsida; Ranunculales; Papaveraceae.